UCAGCGACUUAUAUUCUGUAGCAAGGUUAACCGAAUAGGGGAGCCGGAGGGAAACCGAGUCUUAAUUGGGCGUUAAGUUGCAGGGUAUAGACCCGAAACCCGGUGAUCUAGCCAUGGGCAGGUUGAAGGUUGGGUAACACUAACUGGAGGACCGAACCGACUAAUGUUGAAAAAUUAGCGGAUGACCUGUGGCUGGGGGUGAAAGGCCAAUCAAACCGGGAGAUAGCUGGUUCUCCCCGAAAGCUAUUUAGGUAGCGCCUCGUGAAUUCAUCUCCGGGGGUAGAGCACUGUUUCGGCUAGGGGGCCAUCCCGGCUUACCAACCCGAUGCAAACUGCGAAUACCGGAGAAUGUUAUCACGGGAGACACACGGCGGGUGCUAACGUCCGUCGUGAAGAGGGAAACAACCCAGACCGCCAGCUAAGGUCCCAAAGUCAUGGUUAAGUGGGAAACGAUGUGGGAAGGCCCAGACAGCCAGGAUGUUGGCUUAGAAGCAGCCAUCAUUUAAAGAAAGCGUAAUAGCUCACUGGUCGAGUCGGCCUGCGCGGAAGAUGUAACGGGGCUAAACCAUGCACCGAAGCUGCGGCAGCGACGCUUAUGCGUUGUUGGGUAGGGGAGCGUUCUGUAAGCCUGCGAAGGUGGCCUGUGAGGGUUGCUGGAGGUAUCAGAAGUGCGAAUGCUGACAUAAGUAACGAUAAAGCGGGUGAAAAGCCCGCUCGCCGGAAGACCAAGGGUUCCUGUCCAACGUUAAUCGGGGCAGGGUGAGUCGACCCCUAAGGCGAGGCCGAAAGGCGUAGUCGAUGGGAAACGGGUUAAUAUUCCCGUACUUGGUGUUACUGCGAAGGGGGGACGGAGAAGGCUAUGUUGGCCGGGCGACGGUUGUCCCGGUUUAAGCGUGUAGGCUGGUUUUCCAGGCAAAUCCGGAAAAUCAAGGCUGAGGCGUGAUGACGAGGCACUACGGUGCUGAAG
This 967-nucleotide ribosomal RNA is filed under the name Salmonella enterica subsp. enterica serovar Enteritidis. Its description in RNAcentral is "partial 23S ribosomal RNA". It matches the Rfam family "Bacterial large subunit ribosomal RNA", at positions 620 to 1590 of the family's 2925-position model. The record is from RNAcentral. Lineage: Bacteria; Pseudomonadati; Pseudomonadota; Gammaproteobacteria; Enterobacterales; Enterobacteriaceae.